UCUUUUCCAGGUCGCUCUUCCCACUGCCCGAACUCACAGCUACGUGCUGUACCAAAAUAAACGAAGAGGCACAAGACUUGAGGCGCAUUAUCAAUGGGAUGGACGCACACUGCACACGUCAGGGGCGAACACUUCACACCUCCGGUGAAUACGAUGUGUUGCAUCGCAGACACAGCUGUGUGGGACAAAGGUCCUGCCCACGAAUGGCUUUUCCUAUAUUUCUCCCAAGGCCAGGGGACUAGCUAUCCCCUUACAGGAAGUGAGACUGGUGAACUGGCCAAAAGGGACCUUGAGCUUCUACCGUUAUCUGGUUAUCUGUCCAGUUUCCUCAUCAGGAAAAAGGAAUCCACCUGGAGGGGCUGUAACAACAUUACACAUGUCAUAUCUGCUGGCUGGCACGUAAGUGCUCCGUAACUGUUUUGUAACU
Long non-coding RNA from Suricata suricatta (meerkat), 427 nucleotides. RefSeq lists it as uncharacterized. The record is from RefSeq and is a predicted model, not a curated record. Lineage: Eukaryota; Metazoa; Chordata; Mammalia; Carnivora; Herpestidae. The transcript has 3 exons.